Molecule: transfer RNA, 72 nt
Filed under: Cercopithecus ascanius schmidti
Lineage: Eukaryota; Metazoa; Chordata; Mammalia; Primates; Cercopithecidae
Description: partial tRNA-Phe
Source: RNAcentral
GCCUACGUAGCUUAAACCCACCCAAAGCAAGACACUGAAAAUGCCUAGAUGGGCUCAUACACCCCGUAGGCA